RNAcentral lists this long non-coding RNA (517 nucleotides) under Ananas comosus (pineapple). Its description in RNAcentral is "long non-coding RNA (ACOM_LNC023299)". Lineage: Eukaryota; Viridiplantae; Streptophyta; Magnoliopsida; Poales; Bromeliaceae. The record is from RNAcentral.
AAAAGAAGAUAAAGUGUAAUAUACCGGAUUUUAAUAUAAAAGUAAAUAUAAAUAAAAAUAGUGUGAGAUACUAUUUUUAUUGGACUUAAAGAAGUAAAAUAUAAGUCGGAAAUGACUUAUGUUGAAAUCGGAACGGAAACAGAAGAUUUAGAUUUUUCUGUUGGAAACGGGGCUGAUAUUUUAACAAAAAAUGCACAGUAUCAGAAAAUUAUGAAAACUUGGAAAUAUGUCGGGAUUAUUUUUAUGAGGCUAGAUUUAAAGUUUCAUGUCAAUCCGACACCCGAAUGGUGGAAAAUAAAAUCCGACUGCUAUUUGCUAGAGAUUACAGUUUGGUAGAGCUUUCGGUGACCAAAUAUGGUCCAAACUGAAAAGUUAAGAUAUAUUCCAUUUAUUUGGCAAAACCGAGCCUGACUGUCAAAUUUGAACGAAAACAGACAUUCAGAAGGGCCGCAAAAAGUAUCUGUACCUCAGCUGCUAAACUAUUAGUGUGAAUAGUGUAUUGUUAAGGGGGCUUUUU